GUAAAAAUAAGAUGAACUAAACAAGGCCUUAAUCGCACCGCUUCGGUUCGAAUCGGUGGGAAAGCUGUUCGAACCGGUGGGAAAGCUAUUGUAAAAAAAAAUAAAUAAAAUGGGCCUUAUCUUUUUUCUUUCUCCUUCUGUCUUAUGUAUUUCUCUUUCCUCGAUCUCUCCUCCUCUCUCAUCUGCCUCUCUCAGUCUCUAUCAUCUACAACAAUGGAGCCUCAAACUCCUUCUCUCUCCUUCGAUCUCCUUCUCCAUAACCGCCGCUUUCCCUUUCCUUUUCUCUCUCAUUCUCCAUCACUGCGCCGCAAGCAACGCCGCUCUCCUUCUCCUUCUCAGUCUGAAAUCGGCCGCCGUCAAUUUGAACCAAAUACAACAACAACAACAACAACAACAAACUUGAAUCAAUUAUCGAUUCAAAGUUCACAAUUUCGAGGGUUGGUGUGUGAACCAUCAAAUAGUUGAAGCCAUGGUUCCGUUUGAAUACAAGCCGUAUUUGGAUUCCAAAACAUAGUAAUGCUAAUGCAUGUAUUUGGCUUCUUUUUGGUGUUUGUUGUGCCGUCUGUGCUUGCUGCAAUGAACUUGAUGUGGUUUGGGAAGAUACUCAGAGGAUUGAAGAAGAAGUUAGCAAAGAGACAAUGACUCAGUAAUGGAAUUGCAUGGUAUUUUCUUAGAAUCUUUUUUCUUCGGUGUAAAAAUGGUGGGUUGGAAAUGUGAAGGCAAAGGGAUCUUUUUUCUUCGUGAAGAUAAUUGUAUCGCCAUUUUUUAUUUAGUUUUUUAAGUGUAAUAUUACAAGUUAUUGAA
Molecule: RNA transcript, 804 nt
Organism: Chenopodium quinoa (quinoa)
Lineage: Eukaryota; Viridiplantae; Streptophyta; Magnoliopsida; Caryophyllales; Amaranthaceae
Exons: 3
Source: RefSeq, a predicted model, not a curated record